RNAcentral lists this long non-coding RNA (877 nucleotides) under Hordeum vulgare. Its description in RNAcentral is "long non-coding RNA (HVUL_LNC000328)". The record is from RNAcentral. Lineage: Eukaryota; Viridiplantae; Streptophyta; Magnoliopsida; Poales; Poaceae.
GAUGGUAAUAUAAUAGCAUGGAACAAUCAAAACUUAUAGAUACGUUGGAGACGUAUCAAGCAUCCCCAAGCUUAAUUCAUGCUCGUCCUCGAGUAGGUAAAUGAUAAAAACAGAAUUUUUGAUGUGACAUGCUACCCAAUACGUAAUCUUUUGCAUGUAUGCUCAUUGAGAAAUGAUGAAUUAACAAACAUUGACAUAGUAAUACUUAUAAGCACAAGCAACAAAAUCAUCAAUCUUUCAAAGUAUAUGAUCCUCAAAGAAUGUUUACCCACAUUCAUCUUAUUAUAUUAGCAAGGCAUGGCUCCAUCUUCUUCGUAUUAAUACAAAUGUCAAGCACCACAGUGCCCAAGUCAGGCAAUUCGAUCGUACUUUUUCAAUAUGCAUCAACUCUUUAUUCUUCGCGCAAUACAUGAGCCUGACCCAUGGACAUAACAUAUAGGUGGAAUAGAAUAUGGUGAUAGGUUUCAAAGGGGCACAAGUGGGGAAGAAAGUCUCGCGUCAACUCGGCAUAUCAAUGGGCUAUGUAGAUGCCCAUCAAUAGAUAUCAAUGCAAGGAGUGGGGAUUGCCAUGAAAUGGAUGCACUAGAGCUAUAAGUGUAUGAAAUCUCGACUGAGACAAAAUGGGUGUGCAUCCAACUUGCUUGCUCAUGAGGACCUCGGGCAUUUGAGGACACUCGUCAUCGAAAUAUACAAGCCAUGUUCUAUAAUGAAAAAUUCCCACUAGCAUAUGGAAGUGACAAAACAAGAGACUCUCUAUAUGAAGAACAUGGUGCCACUUUGAGGCACAAGUGUGGUAAAGGAUAGUAGCAAAGUCCCUUCUCUCUUUUUCUCUCAUUUAUUUGUUUAUUUUUAUAUAUUUUUUCAUGGUGUUUUUUUU